RNAcentral lists this long non-coding RNA (778 nucleotides) under Struthio camelus australis. Its description in RNAcentral is "lncRNA (ENSSCUG00000013450.1)". The record is from RNAcentral. Lineage: Eukaryota; Metazoa; Chordata; Aves; Struthioniformes; Struthionidae.
CACAGUUUGACAUCAAGAGGAAUGCAAACAGAUGCUUUAUUUUUAGCAUAGUUAUUCUCUCAGGUUGGUGCUAUCUUUCAUCUUGGCUCAAUGAGGUGGGCUUAAAUCUACCUUUCUUCAUGCAGACGCCUGUGUCAGUGCUUGCAGAAUCUCUGCCCUUGUUUGGAAGAAGAGUGCUUUCUGUGAGACUAGGACGUAGUGAAUUGAAGCUUAAGGCUUGUGAUGUACCUACAUCAUGUCUAUUUCAGAGCCUCAGAAAAGGGUGCUCCAGCUUUUUUUGGAAGAGGAUAGAUUCCGUAAGCAUGGCUGUGGACACAGCAUACAGGUAUUCUGCAUUUCUGCCUCUGUGGAGCCAAAAGAGCGUCAGAUUGCCACAUUGCAGUUCAGGGGCUGCUUUUUCGUGGCGUUCCCUCUGCAAGGUACUGCACAGAGUGAAUGUAUGUGGCAGAGGACCAGACUUGAUAUCCCAUGGACAUUUAUGCAUGAAGAUGAACUAUCUCCCAAGUGAUCUGAAAUCUUCACUGGAGCUAAGCUGUCGGCUAAAUGUUAUACCUCUGCACUUUUCGUUUCAGCACAACUAAAGCUGGUAUGCAAACCUUAACCACAAAAUAUAUACCUGGCUUGAGUGUGUGCCAGCUCAGUUAACUGCCGACCUUGUGCCGUCUUGCAGUAUGGAGAUUUUUCAUGGGCUCCCUUAAUCAAGGUAAACUCUACCCAGCGAGAAUUAUGUACAGUACCUGGUGAGUUAAUAAAGAGGCAUUGUCCCUUUAAGGAAACA